This 660-nucleotide ribosomal RNA is filed under the name uncultured bacterium. Its description in RNAcentral is "bacterial SSU rRNA". It matches the Rfam family "Bacterial small subunit ribosomal RNA", at positions 33 to 688 of the family's 1533-position model. The record is from RNAcentral.
ACGCUGGCGGCAGGCCUAACACAUGCAAGUCGAGCGGUAGAGAGAAGCUUGCUUCUCUUGAGAGCGGCGGACGGGUGAGUAAUGCCUAGGAAUCUGCCUGGUAGUGGGGGAUAACGUUCGGAAACGGACGCUAAUACCGCAUACGUCCUACGGGAGAAAGCAGGGGACCUUCGGGCCUUGCGCUAUCAGAUGAGCCUAGGUCGGAUUAGCUAGUUGGUGGGGUAAUGGCUCACCAAGGCGACGAUCCGUAACUGGUCUGAGAGGAUGAUCAGUCACACUGGAACUGAGACACGGUCCAGACUCCUACGGGAGGCAGCAGUGGGGAAUAUUGGACAAUGGGCGAAAGCCUGAUCCAGCCAUGCCGCGUGUGUGAAGAAGGUCUUCGGAUUGUAAAGCACUUUAAGUUGGGAGGAAGGGCAGUUGCCUAAUACGUAACUGUUUUGACGUUACCGACAGAAUAAGCACCGGCUAACUCUGUGCCAGCAGCCGCGGUAAUACAGAGGGUGCAAGCGUUAAUCGGAAUUACUGGGCGUAAAGCGCGCGUAGGUGGUUUGUUAAGUUGGAUGUGAAAUCCCCGGGCUCAACCUGGGAACUGCAUUCAAAACUGACUGACUAGAGUAUGGUAGAGGGUGGUGGAAUUUCCUGUGUAGCGGUGAAAUG